Molecule: ribosomal RNA, 469 nt
Filed under: uncultured bacterium
Lineage: Bacteria
Description: partial 16S ribosomal RNA
Rfam family: Bacterial small subunit ribosomal RNA
Source: RNAcentral
GACGAACGCUGGCGGCGUGCUUAACACAUGCAAGUCGAACGGCAAGGCCCUGCUUGCCUGGUGUUCGAGUGGCGAACGGGUGAGUAACACGUGGGUGAUCUGCCCCUUACUUUGGGAUAAGCCUUGGAGACUGGGUCUAAUACUGGAUAGGACCAUGCUGUAGGGGGUGUGGUGGUAAGAUUAGUUUCGGUAGGGGAUGAGCUCGCGGCCUAUCAGCGUGUUGGUGGGGUAAUGGCCGACCAAGGCGUCGACGGGUAGCCGGCCUGAGAGGGUGGGCGGCAAGGUCGGGACUGAGAUGGGACGCAGACGCCUGCGAGAGGCAGCAAUGGGGAAUAUCGCACAAUGGGCGCAAGGCUGAUGCAGCGACGGCGCGUGGGGGAUGACGGCCUUCGGGUUGGAAACACCUUCCGGCCAUGACGAAGCCCUUGUGGUGACGGUAGUGAUAGAAGAAGCACCGGCUAACUACGUG